UACGACUACAUAUCAGGCAUAUCAAUAAGCGGAGGAAAAGAAACUAACAAGGAUUCCCUUAGUAACGGCGAGUGAAGCGGGAAGAGCUCAAAUUUGAAAUCUUCAAGGUUUUACCUUGACGAAUUGUAGUUUAAAGAAGUGUUUUCUGUUGAAGUUUUGGUAAAAGUUCUUUGGAAUAGGACAUCAUAGAGGGUGAGAAUCCCGUAUUUGACCAUUAUUUUCAGCUGUGUGAUACACUUUCAAAGAGUCGGAUUGCUUGGGAAUGCAGUCCAAAAUGGGUGGUAAAUUCAUCUAAAGCUAAAUAUUGGCGAGAGACCGAUAGCGAACAAGUACCGUGAGGGAAAGAUGAAAAGAACUUUGAAAAGAGAGUUAAACAGUACGUGAAAUUGUCAAAAGGGAAGCGUUUGACACCAGUGUUGUUUUCUCGAAAAUCAAUUAAAAAAAGUUGGAUUUCGUGUUGUAUUGACCUUAACAGCUUGCUUCACUCUUUUCCAGCUUUUUUUAAUGCACUUUUCGUUUAACAAGUCAACAUCAGUUUCUUUUGUUGUAAAAGGGUCAUUGGAAGGUGGCUUUCUCUUCGGAGAAAGUGUUUAUAGCCUUUGAUCUCUGCAAUCGGAGAGACUGAGGUCUGCAGCGUAGAUCCUUCGGGGUUAGAUACAUUUGUGCUAAGCUACAGCUUUUCAUAGACAACUUGUUGACUAUGUUUAGUCUUGUGACUUACCCGCUUAUGCUAUUUUACCUACGCUUAGGAUGUUGAGCGCAUGUCUCUCUCU
RNAcentral lists this ribosomal RNA (773 nucleotides) under uncultured Neocallimastigales. RNAcentral describes it as "partial large subunit ribosomal RNA". It matches the Rfam family "Eukaryotic large subunit ribosomal RNA", at positions 24 to 616 of the family's 3401-position model. Lineage: Eukaryota; Fungi; Neocallimastigomycota; Neocallimastigomycetes; Neocallimastigales. The record is from RNAcentral.